This 77-nucleotide transfer RNA is filed under the name Lentisphaerota bacterium. RNAcentral describes it as "Lentisphaerae bacterium (freshwater metagenome) tRNA-Val". It matches the Rfam family "tRNA". Rfam says of the family: Transfer RNA (tRNA) molecules are approximately 80 nucleotides in length. Their secondary structure includes four short double-helical elements and three loops (D, anti-codon, and T loops). The record is from RNAcentral. Lineage: Bacteria; Pseudomonadati; Lentisphaerota.
GGGCGGUUAACUCAGUUGGUUAGAGUACCUGGUUUACACCCAGGCUGUCGGGAGUUCGAGUCUCUCACCGCCCACCA